AGUGAACGCUGGCGGCAGGCCUAACACAUGCAAGUCGAACGGCAGCACAAGAGAGCUUGCUCUCUGGGUGGCGAGUGGCGGACGGGUGAGGAAUGCAUCGGAAUCUGCCCAUUUGUGGGGGAUAACCUCGGGAAACCGGGACUAAUACCGCAUACGACCUACGGGUGAAAGCAGGGGAUCUUCGGACCUUGCGCAGAUGGAUGAGCCGAUGCCGGAUUAGCUAGUUGGAGGGGUAAAGGCCCACCAAGGCGACGAUCCGUAGCUGGUCUGAGAGGAGGAUCAGCCACACUGGGACUGAGACACGGCCCUGACUCCUACGGGAGGCAGCAGUGGGGAAUAUUGGACAAUGGGCGCAAGCCUGAUCCAGCCAUGCCGCGUGUGUGAAGAAGGCCUUCGGGUUGUAAAGCACUUUUGUUGGGAAAGAAAAGCAGCCGGUUAAUACCCGGUUGUCAUGACGGUACCCAAAGAAUAAGCACCGGCUAACUACGUG
This 490-nucleotide ribosomal RNA is filed under the name uncultured bacterium. RNAcentral describes it as "partial 16S ribosomal RNA". It matches the Rfam family "Bacterial small subunit ribosomal RNA", at positions 29 to 507 of the family's 1533-position model. The record is from RNAcentral.